Molecule: ribosomal RNA, 440 nt
Filed under: uncultured bacterium
Lineage: Bacteria
Description: partial 16S ribosomal RNA
Rfam family: Bacterial small subunit ribosomal RNA
Source: RNAcentral
CCUACGGGAGGCAGCAGUGGGGAAUAUUGCACAAUGGGGGAAACCCUGAUGCAGCGACGCCGCGUGAGUGAAGAAGUAAUUCGUUAUGUAAAGCUCUAUCAGCAGGGAAGAAAAUGACGGUACCUGAGUAAGAAGCCCCGGCUAACUACGUGCCAGCAGCCGCGGUAAGACGUAGGGGGCAAGCGUUAUCCGGAUUUACUGGGUGUAAAGGGAGCGUAGACGGCAGUGCAAGUCUGGAGUGAAGGGCGGGGGCUCAACCCCCGGACUGCUCUGGAAACUGUACGGCUGGAGUGCAGGAGAGGUAAGUGGAAUUCCUAGUGUAGCGGUGAAAUGCGUAGAUAUUAGGAGGAACACCAGUGGCGAAGGCGGCUUACUGGACUGUAACUGACGUUGAGGCUCGAAAGCGUGGGGAGCAAACAGGAUUAGAUACCCCUGUAGUC